This is a non-coding RNA of Phalacrocorax carbo (great cormorant), 1873 nucleotides long. NCBI's taxonomy places the organism in Eukaryota, Metazoa, Chordata, Aves, Suliformes, Phalacrocoracidae. The record is from RefSeq and is a predicted model, not a curated record.
AAUAAACCUCCUCUUUCUUACAGGAAAGGAAAUAGGAAAACUAACCUGAGUUUUUUGGUUUGGACCUUGCUAAAGGACUAUUUGCCUUCUCAGUCCUUCCUUGGAGCCAAAAGCUUGUGUCCUCUUGAAUUGCAUGCCAGAUAUCUCCACUGAUGGCUAUGGAAAUGUUUAUCAAGAGGUCUGAAUGUCACCUCCCUGCUGCAGAUUCCCAGAGAGGGUCGGCCGCUUGGGCAGCUGGUGGAGCAGAGCGCGAAGAGAUGCAUGUCCUGGCCAGGUCUUCGCUGUCCCUGCUCACCUCCUCUGCUAUCAUUCAUUGAGCACAGACACCUCCUGGGGAACCGUCUGCCUCGCUGUUCAAACCCCACCGAUACACGUAGCUUUGCCGUUUGACCUUUGAGACAUCUCCUCUCUUGGUUACCAUUGCCCUUUCACAGCCGCCACCCGGCUGGAGACAGAGCAGAUGAAUGUGCCGAUAGCAGUGCAAGCACCCAGAGGAACACCGAGAAGCACGGCAGUGGCAAGACUCUAUUCGCUGGGAAGGAUUAAGGCAGGAUUUUUAUUACUGUGCAAGGCAGAAAGAAACCUCUGGGGGUUUGAGCUUUUAUCAUGCAUCCCAAGUUGUCUCAGAGCUGUGUGGUGAGGACAGGUGGGAUGCAGCAUGCAGGUUCAACCAGGUGGUCAGGGGACUCUGCUCCCUUCAUCUCAUGCUGGACUCUGAUGCCCACCUUGUUACACAGAGGAACCUACUAGUGCAGGAGGAGAUACCUGGUUUAGAGGGAUGAAAUCAUUCUUCUGUAACAUAGAGACAAUUCUCAGCCGGCACCACCAGAAGUACCUCACAGGCACUUUGGGAGGCGGCUGCCAAGGACAGUGUCUCGGGCUCCCUGUUCUAACACUGAGAGGAGCUACUGAGACCAUGGCGGGGGAUGGACCUGGACAACAUGCAGGCUAACAAGGCUGGCUGAGGCCUCUCCCCUGCCUCCCCCGGCAGGAAUCCUCUGCAGAGCUGGCGUGUCCCCAGGUUUACAACAAACACAGAAGAUGCAGAACAAGUCUGCAGCCUCAGGAAUAUUUGGCGGUGGAGUGUCCAUGCCAGCCCAUCAGUACUCGAAUCACUCAUCUGUUUGUCCGCUUUAAAGCAACCGACUCUACCCACCUCGCUCUCACUGUCACAACAGCCCUCAUUAUGCCUUGAAGUUCUCGGCACUGUGCCUUCACGCAGUACAGAGUUUUUCUCACUACAUCUCAGCCAUGGAGUAUAUUUGCAAAUAACAGCUCUCAUGACAGCUGGCACCUCUCCUCUCCAUCAGCGCCGGUGCCAGUCAUCAUGCUGGAAAUGGCACUGUGGAUCACAGGAGCAGUCCAGCAGCCCUGGGUGAGAGCUUGCAAGUCAGUUCAUUACUGCCUUUAUGCUCUCCCCUAAUCUGUUGCAGUGAGCGGUGUCUCUGCCCCUGCUGGAGCUAAUGUCAUUUUUCAUCCUUGUGGUCACUGUUAGCAGUCAAGCAAAAAAUGUCAGUUUUAAUUACAGCAUUUAUUUACACAUAUCUCUCCUGCUUUAAACUGAGAGACAGACCUCCCUCCUCAUCACAUGCGACUUAUACCCUUCUGUUAGAGAAACAGGUAUAAUUCUUGCCAAACGGAGUAAAUCUCUUAGUAGCACCCGCUUAUGUGUCUUCUCGAAGCAAAUAACUGUAAUCAAUGACCUAUUUAAAAAAUGAGAAAAUUUGAUUUUUUUUUAAAGUGGUUUCAGGCUUGCUAAACAGGUGCUGUAGUAAAUCUGGCGUGUCUCUAAUAUACUGCUCUGGUAAUCCCUGUUUGCUUUUUAUUUCCACGUGUAUUGAUUGUUCUCUUUAUGACCACAAUAAACAAAAUU